Molecule: ribosomal RNA, 41 nt
Filed under: Galanthus nivalis (common snowdrop)
Lineage: Eukaryota; Viridiplantae; Streptophyta; Magnoliopsida; Asparagales; Amaryllidaceae
Description: partial 18S ribosomal RNA
Source: RNAcentral
GUAACAAGGUUUCUGUAGGUGAACCUGCGGAAGGAUCAUUG